AUGAACGCUAGCGGCAGGCCUAACACAUGCAAGUCGAGGGGCAUCACGGAUUGCUUGCAAUCUGGUGGCGACCGGCGCACGGGUGCGUAACGCGUAUACAACCUACCUUUUGGAGGGGAAUAGCCCAGAGAAAUUUGGAUUAAUACCCCAUAGUAUAUAGGAAUCUCCUGAUUUUUAUAUUAAACAUUUAUGGCCAUUAGAUGGGUAUGCGUCCUAUUAGCUAGUUGGUGUGGUAACGGCACACCAAGGCUACGAUAGGUAGGGGUCCUGAGAGGGAGAUCCCCACACUGGUACUGAGACACGGACCAGACUCCUACGGGAGGCAGCAGUGAGGAAUAUUGGACAAUGGGCGAGAGCCUGAUCCAGCCAUGCCGCGUGCAGGAAGACUGCCCUAUGGGUUGUAAACUGCUUUUACAGAGGAAGAACCACCCUCACGUGUGGGGGUUUGACGGUACUCUGCGAAUAAGGAUCGGCUAACUCCGUG
Molecule: ribosomal RNA, 484 nt
Filed under: uncultured bacterium
Lineage: Bacteria
Description: bacterial SSU rRNA
Rfam family: Bacterial small subunit ribosomal RNA
Source: RNAcentral